AUGCUCCAUUAUUUCUAUGUAAUACAAAGUAACAUUGCUACAAACUUCAUUUUGAACUUCACAUUAAACUGCUUCUGUUUCACACAAAUCCCGGCACAGAUGUGCAUGUUUAGAUCAAACUCAUAGAAAAUAACCAAAACAAUCCAAGGUUUUUAUUUAGCACAGUGGCUAGAUUAAUGAAUAACCAGACGCCACCUGAUUUUAAUAUUCCAUCAACAUUUAAUAGUAAUGACUUUAUGAAGAUGAGUAAGUUUUUUAGUAAAGCUGAAAGAUUUACAGACAGUUGAGGUCCUUCAGACAUCGUACUACACCAGACAGCAAAUUAAGGCCUUUAAAAGUCUGGAGGCAUACAACUUUUUUGUCAAUGGGUGGGUCCACAACCUCUGUGUCCAACGGCUCCACGAUGAUCAUCGUUUGGUCUUCGCCAGAGUGAGUCUUUGUUUUUAUAUUGUUUUAUGUGCUAAGAUGCUAGCAGUAACGCAGCACAUCUUAACGAUGGCGUUAGUCUGACAGUCUUUAAUGUUUCAAGGUAAAAGACUCUCAGAGGUCAAGCGAAACACUUCUGAAGACCUGGAUUAUUGUGAAGGAGGAUGGAGAAGUCAUUGCAGCUCAUUGCAAUUGCAUGGCAGUACUAUCAGAAUCGUGUUCUCAUGUAGAGGCAGUUCUUUUUUCCAUUGAAGUUGGGGUAAAGAUGCAAGAUUCAGCUUCCUGCACAACAGAGAAGUGCAAGUGGCUGAUGCCAUCACAUGUAAAAAAGUUAUGGAUGCAAACAUGAAGCACAAGCCAGAGGAGCAUAUGAGAAGCUGAUGGUUCAGGAGCAUGCAGGCUUCUCCUAUAUGGGCAGUGGUCUCUGGCUGAACCCCAAG
Carassius auratus (goldfish) is the source of this 866-nucleotide long non-coding RNA. RefSeq lists it as uncharacterized. NCBI's taxonomy places the organism in Eukaryota, Metazoa, Chordata, Actinopteri, Cypriniformes, Cyprinidae. The transcript is spliced from 3 exons. The record is from RefSeq and is a predicted model, not a curated record.